UACGGAGGGUGCAAGCGUUGUCCGGAUUUAUUGGGUUUAAAGGGUGCGUAGGCGGCCCGUUAAGUCAGUGGUGAAAGCCUCCAGCUCAACUGGAGAACUGCCAUUGAUACUGGCGGGCUUGAGUACAGACGAGGUUGGCGGAAUUGAUUGUGUAGCGGUGAAAUGCGUAGAUACAAUCAAGAACACCGAUUGCGUAGGCAGCUAACUAGGCUGUAACUGACGCUGAGGCACGAAAGCGUGGGGAGCGAACAGG
RNAcentral lists this ribosomal RNA (253 nucleotides) under uncultured bacterium. RNAcentral's name for it is "partial 16S ribosomal RNA". It matches the Rfam family "Bacterial small subunit ribosomal RNA", at positions 524 to 776 of the family's 1533-position model. The record is from RNAcentral.